CGCCGCAGUCUGAAAGACCACCUGUGGUGGUAACGGCUGCCCAGCCAAGUCCAAACCCAACCAGCGUCAAUGUUCAAGAAGGAGAGCGCAGAUGUCAGCAAGAUGGGUCCUCUGCUGAUGGGUCGGCCAUUCGUCCAGUGGUCCUCCGAGGGUCAGCGUGACUCUGGCCACUCCUCCACCUGGAGCACCGGGCAGCUACUGGUAGAGUCCCAG
Long non-coding RNA from Amblyraja radiata (thorny skate), 213 nucleotides. RefSeq lists it as uncharacterized. The transcript has 3 exons. The record is from RefSeq and is a predicted model, not a curated record. NCBI's taxonomy places the organism in Eukaryota, Metazoa, Chordata, Chondrichthyes, Rajiformes, Rajidae.